This 366-nucleotide ribosomal RNA is filed under the name uncultured bacterium. RNAcentral's name for it is "bacterial SSU rRNA". It matches the Rfam family "Bacterial small subunit ribosomal RNA", at positions 282 to 660 of the family's 1533-position model. The record is from RNAcentral.
GGUAGCCGGCCUGAGAGGGCGACCGGCCACACUGGGACUGAGACACGGCCCAGACUCCUACGGGAGGCAGCAGUGGGGAAUAUUGCGCAAUGGGCGAAAGCCUGACGCAGCAACGCCGCGUGAGGGAUGACGGCCUUCGGGUUGUAAACCUCUUUCAGCAGGGACGAAGCGAAAGUGACUGUACCUGCAGAAGAAGCGCCGGCUAACUACGUGCCAGCAGCCGCGGUAAUACGUAGGGCGCAAGCGUUGUCCGGAUUUAUUGGGCGUAAAGAGUUCGUAGGCGGUCUGUCGCGUCGGAAGUGAAAACCCGGAGCUCAACUCCGGGCCUGCUUUCGAUACGGGCAGACUUGAGUGUUGCAGGGGAGA